Molecule: ribosomal RNA, 2902 nt
Filed under: Escherichia coli KTE16
Lineage: Bacteria; Pseudomonadati; Pseudomonadota; Gammaproteobacteria; Enterobacterales; Enterobacteriaceae
Description: bacterial LSU rRNA
Rfam family: Bacterial large subunit ribosomal RNA
Source: RNAcentral
UUAAGCGACUAAGCGUACACGGUGGAUGCCCUGGCAGUCAGAGGCGAUGAAGGACGUGCUAAUCUGCGAUAAGCGUCGGUGAGGUGAUAUGAACCGUUAUAACCGGCGAUUUCCGAAUGGGGAAACCCAGUGUGAUUCGUCACACUAUCAUUAACUGAAUCCAUAGGUUAAUGAGGCGAACCGGGGGAACUGAAACAUCUAAGUACCCCGAGGAAAAGAAAUCAACCGAGAUUCCCCCAGUAGCGGCGAGCGAACGGGGAGGAGCCCAGAGCCUGAAUCAGUGUGUGUGUUAGUGGAAGCGUCUGGAAAGGCGCGCGAUACAGGGUGACAGCCCCGUACACAAAAAUGCACAUACUGUGAGCUCGAUGAGUAGGGCGGGACACGUGGUAUCCUGUCUGAAUAUGGGGGGACCAUCCUCCAAGGCUAAAUACUCCUGACUGACCGAUAGUGAACCAGUACCGUGAGGGAAAGGCGAAAAGAACCCCGGCGAGGGGAGUGAAAAAGAACCUGAAACCGUGUACGUACAAGCAGUGGGAGCCUCUUAAUGGGGUGACUGCGUACCUUUUGUAUAAUGGGUCAGCGACUUAUAUUCUGUAGCAAGGUUAACCGAAUAGGGGAGCCGAAGGGAAACCGAGUCUUAACUGGGCGUUAAGUUGCAGGGUAUAGACCCGAAACCCGGUGAUCUAGCCAUGGGCAGGUUGAAGGUUGGGUAACACUAACUGGAGGACCGAACCGACUAAUGUUGAAAAAUUAGCGGAUGACUUGUGGCUGGGGGUGAAAGGCCAAUCAAACCGGGAGAUAGCUGGUUCUCCCCGAAAGCUAUUUAGGUAGCGCCUCGUGAAUUCAUCUCCGGGGGUAGAGCACUGUUUCGGCAAGGGGGUCAUCCCGACUUACCAACCCGAUGCAAACUGCGAAUACCGGAGAAUGUUAUCACGGGAGACACACGGCGGGUGCUAACGUCCGUCGUGAAGAGGGAAACAACCCAGACCGCCAGCUAAGGUCCCAAAGUCAUGGUUAAGUGGGAAACGAUGUGGGAAGGCCCAGACAGCCAGGAUGUUGGCUUAGAAGCAGCCAUCAUUUAAAGAAAGCGUAAUAGCUCACUGGUCGAGUCGGCCUGCGCGGAAGAUGUAACGGGGCUAAACCAUGCACCGAAGCUGCGGCAGCGACACUAUGUGUUGUUGGGUAGGGGAGCGUUCUGUAAGCCUGUGAAGGUGGCCUGUGAGGGUUGCUGGAGGUAUCAGAAGUGCGAAUGCUGACAUAAGUAACGAUAAAGCGGGUGAAAAGCCCGCUCGCCGGAAGACCAAGGGUUCCUGUCCAACGUUAAUCGGGGCAGGGUGAGUCGACCCCUAAGGCGAGGCCGAAAGGCGUAGUCGAUGGGAAACAGGUUAAUAUUCCUGUACUUGGUGUUACUGCGAAGGGGGGACGGAGAAGGCUAUGUUGGCCGGGCGACGGUUGUCCCGGUUUAAGCGUGUAGGCUGGUUUUCCAGGCAAAUCCGGAAAACCAAGGCUGAGGCGUGAUGACGAGGCACUACGGUGCUGAAGCGACAAAUGCCCUGCUUCCAGGAAAAGCCUCUAAGCAUCAGGUAACAUCAAAUCGUACCCCAAACCGACACAGGUGGUCAGGUAGAGAAUACCAAGGCGCUUGAGAGAACUCGGGUGAAGGAACUAGGCAAAAUGGUGCCGUAACUUCGGGAGAAGGCACGUUGAUAUGUAGGUGAAGCGACUUGCUCGUGGAGCUGAAAUCAGUCGAAGAUACCAGCUGGCUGCAACUGUUUAUUAAAAACACAGCACUGUGCAAACACGAAAGUGGACGUAUACGGUGUGACGCCUGCCCGGUGCCGGAAGGUUAAUUGAUGGGGUUAGCGGCAACGCGAAGCUCUUGAUCGAAGCCCCGGUAAACGGCGGCCGUAACUAUAACGGUCCUAAGGUAGCGAAAUUCCUUGUCGGGUAAGUUCCGACCUGCACGAAUGGCGUAAUGAUGGCCAGGCUGUCUCCACCCGAGACUCAGUGAAAUUGAACUCGCUGUGAAGAUGCAGUGUACCCGCGGCAAGACGGAAAGACCCCGUGAACCUUUACUAUAGCUUGACACUGAACAUUGAGCCUUGAUGUGUAGGAUAGGUGGGAGGCUUUGAAGUGUGGACGCCAGUCUGCAUGGAGCCGACCUUGAAAUACCACCCUUUAAUGUUUGAUGUUCUAACGUUGGCCCGUAAUCCGGGUUGCGGACAGUGUCUGGUGGGUAGUUUGACUGGGGCGGUCUCCUCCUAAAGAGUAACGGAGGAGCACGAAGGUUGGCUAAUCCUGGUCGGACAUCAGGAGGUUAGUGCAAUGGCAUAAGCCAGCUUGACUGCGAGCGUGACGGCGCGAGCAGGUGCGAAAGCAGGUCAUAGUGAUCCGGUGGUUCUGAAUGGAAGGGCCAUCGCUCAACGGAUAAAAGGUACUCCGGGGAUAACAGGCUGAUACCGCCCAAGAGUUCAUAUCGACGGCGGUGUUUGGCACCUCGAUGUCGGCUCAUCACAUCCUGGGGCUGAAGUAGGUCCCAAGGGUAUGGCUGUUCGCCAUUUAAAGUGGUACGCGAGCUGGGUUUAGAACGUCGUGAGACAGUUCGGUCCCUAUCUGCCGUGGGCGCUGGAGAACUGAGGGGGGCUGCUCCUAGUACGAGAGGACCGGAGUGGACGCAUCACUGGUGUUCGGGUUGUCAUGCCAAUGGCACUGCCCGGUAGCUAAAUGCGGAAGAGAUAAGUGCUGAAAGCAUCUAAGCACGAAACUUGCCCCGAGAUGAGUUCUCCCUGAGACUUAGAGUCUCCUGAAGGAACGUUGAAGACGACGACGUUGAUAGGCCGGGUGUGUAAGCGCAGCGAUGCGUUGAGCUAACCGGUACUAAUGAACCGUGAGGCUUAACCUU